RNAcentral lists this unclassified non-coding RNA (369 nucleotides) under rhizosphere metagenome. RNAcentral describes it as "partial ribosomal RNA internal transcribed spacer region". The record is from RNAcentral.
GUAGGUGAACCUGCGGAAGGAUCAUUAACACGUAUCCACGUUUUAAUAACCCGAGAAUUUCUUAGGAUUAGCUUAUUCGAGAAAAGGGGGCUCUUUUUCUGCUCACGCUUAAAAAAGCUCCCCGGCUCUUCUCGGUUCGAUCGACCUGAGAUGUGGCUAUUGAAUUAGCUUCCUAUGAAUAAGCGACUCAUUUAUUUUAAACCAAGACUUUCGGGUCUUUUUUUAAUUAAAUGAGGAGUUUGUUUUACCUCUCUUGAGAUCUCGGUCUCAUUUGAGGUAUAAACUUUUUCUAAACCUAAAAGCCGUCUCUUUGUAGACCGCUUUUAACCGAAUGCUGUACAACUCUUAGCAACGGAUAUCUUGGUUCUG